This 1122-nucleotide long non-coding RNA is filed under the name Salmo salar (Atlantic salmon). RNAcentral describes it as "lncRNA (ENSSSAG00000096059.1)". The record is from RNAcentral. Lineage: Eukaryota; Metazoa; Chordata; Actinopteri; Salmoniformes; Salmonidae.
CCCCCCCACACACUAUCCCAUCUAACCCCCACACUGCCCCCCUCCUCCUCGCCCAUUUGCCAGCCUUAUUAUCACGCUACAGGGGCUGUACCACAACAGCACAAAGCUAACCACACCACUCUCACAGAAGUUGAAUCUAUUCAAACCCUCUGAAAGUUCAUCACAUCAAUGCCCAGUGAUUGAAACCUACUGACCCUGCAACGGUAUAAACAGUCACAUGCACACACCAAAAACUAUGGGUGUGUGUUAGUCAAAGCUGUUCACAGCCUCUGGCUCAUCCAUCCACAGUGUAAUCCAGUAGAGGAGAGGAACAGAGAGACUGAAUAAUGGUGCUUUGUAGUGGAAGAGCGAGAGAGACAAGACAGUGCUUAUCCAGAGGAGCUGGUAAAUAUAUAAUCUCCACAAACAGCCAAGGUCAGAAAAACAGCACCUGUCUCAGGCAUGCAGGCGAGGAAUGGCAUGGCAUGGAAUGAGAUGGAACCGAGAGGAAUGCAGCUCCUGGAAUGGGAUCAGUGACUCCCUGGUAACCUUGGGGUCUUUGUAUUGGAGAGAGAGGGCACUCAGCUACUCUCACACAUUUACACACAAAGAGCCAAGGGUCUGUGCUUGCAGCCCCUCUCAGAAAGAGUUCAGCGAUGUUAAUGUCGCCAGCGCCUCAAAGCUUUUUGAUGUUCCGUGUCUUUUGAGUACACUACAGAAAGCUGAGAGCGGGCGGGCGAGUUUGAAUGCGGUGCCAAAAACAACAAGCAAGAAAGCAGCUGUGUGCAAGAGAGGCGGAUCACCCGAGGAAUCAAAGAUGGCCGACGAAGAAAGGAAAAUAGCAUAUCAAAGAAGGGUCCUACGUAAUUUGAGUUACUCAAUGUCUUUAAAUAAAUUAGCUUGGGUGGAGGCCGUGAAGAGUGUACACAUUACCAUUUUUGCCAAUGUAACCACGACUUAAAUGUUUUCUCAUUAAUUCCAAGACAAACAUUGUUUGUACAUUUCAAAUCAUUUCAAAUGCACAUAAAUAAAUGGACUUGCAAUUGGGCGAAGUAAGCUUUGAGACUGAUGUAAUGUUUUCCUGUUCAUGGACUAUCGCACUUUACUGAAGGAAAUUGGUACUAAAUAUAUACAGAAUUGAAG